RNAcentral lists this ribosomal RNA (253 nucleotides) under uncultured bacterium. Its description in RNAcentral is "partial 16S ribosomal RNA". It matches the Rfam family "Bacterial small subunit ribosomal RNA", at positions 524 to 776 of the family's 1533-position model. The record is from RNAcentral.
GACAGAGGGUGCAAACGUUGUUCGGAAUUACUGGGCGUAAAGCGCGUGUAGGCGGCUAUGCAAGUCGGGUGUGAAAGCCCGGAGCUCAACUCCGGAAGUGCAUUCGAUACUGCGUAGCUAGAGUACUGGAGAGGAUGGUGGAACUCUCGGUGUAGAGGUGAAAUUCGCAGAUAUCGGGAAGAACACCUAUGGCGAAGGCAGCUCUCUGGGACGGUACUGACGCUGAGACGCGAAAGCGUGGGGAGCGAACAGG